This 91-nucleotide transfer RNA is filed under the name Phycisphaerae bacterium. RNAcentral describes it as "tRNA-Ser". It matches the Rfam family "tRNA". From Rfam's summary of the family: Transfer RNA (tRNA) molecules are approximately 80 nucleotides in length. Lineage: Bacteria; Pseudomonadati; Planctomycetota; Phycisphaerae. The record is from RNAcentral.
GGAGAGGUGGCUGAGUGGCUGAAGGCACCGGUUUGCUAAACCGGCGUACGGGCGUAUACCUGUACCGCGGGUUCGAAUCCCGCCCUCUCCG